CAGGAGGAUCGCUUGAGGCCAAGAGUUCAAGGCCAACCUGGGCAACAUGAUGAAGAAACUGAGGUUUAGAGAAGCCACUUGCCCAGUGUAGACAGCCGAGAAGGACAGGCCCAGGUCUGCUUGAUGAUGAAGCCAGUGUCUUCUCUGCAGUGUGAUCCUAAUCGCGUUAGGGGGUUUCCGAGGAAGCAGAGGAUUUUGCCCUUGCAUUUGAGCCACAGCAGCUCUACUGCAAACAAAGGAGAUGAGGAAGGACAGUGGGCAGGAUCUGACCAAAGUCUUUGUGAUUGAGCUUGCUCUCUUAUGCCUCUGCCGUCACCCACAGAGAAACAUGCCCAAAUUGGCCCUCUAGUCCCACGAGAAACGUGAGAAACAGAGGGAUCAGAACCAUCCUAGCUGAACUCAGCCCAGAUCAGCAGGCCUUAGUGGACCCCAAGAUGGCAGAGGGUCUGUAACUUUCACCAGAUUCUUAAGGAGUCUGUGACCUGGGAGAGUUUUAAGAGUGGGAAAGCUGUAAGGCCAUGCUCAGGCUGGAUUCCAGCCAUGGGAUCCCUCGCAUCACCUCUCUGAGCCUCAGCUUCCUCCUCUGUGCAAUGGGGCAGCCUCAUGGACAUGCAGGAUUGCAGUUCUGGACAUGCAGAGCCUGGCAUCCAGAGGAGCCCAGUGCCCGCCAACUGCAGCGCCCAGCACCAGCAACCCCAGGGUUGGGGGCUGACUCCAUUCUUCUCCCCAGGGCUGCACCAGCUCUAGCUUCCUGGCCGCCAGUUCCCCCAGCAACUUCAUUUUGUUUAUUUGCAAUGGCUUCUUGGGGUCUCCUGGCGAAAAGAUUCUCAGCUGAGUUCCAGAAAAUGAACGCACUCUCCCCGUGCUCAGAGAGCUCCCAGCUGUUCUCUUGGCUGGCCGGCUCAGAAGAAAUGAUGUUAGGAAUGUUUAUCUCGGAGGAAGUGGAAGAGCUCCUUUCAGCAAAACAAGAAUGAACCACAAAACGGGGUGCAGGGGGCCUUGUCAAGGCAUCGUAGCGUGGCGCCAUGGGAACAUCCACUUCCUUUGUCCUGCCUCAGCUGACAGUGCCUCGGAGAUGCCCUGAGCUACGUCAGCCCGGCUGGCAUCCAAGGGGCUCCUUAUUGGCUCACAAGACACGUUGCUUUUUCAGGACCAGAGAGACUUGGAGGUCCUCACCUGCACCCCCGAGCCUCUGUUUAGGCUGUGCUGUGAGGCUGGCUCUCUGUGGUCAGCAUCUCAGCGUCCCUGCCUGGCCAGCAAAGGGGUGACAUUUUCCUUGGGUGCCCUCUUGCAACACUGUGUUAAAUUCUCAAAAAGCUGCAAACCCUUAGGGUGAAGUUUGUGUCUAGAAUAUAACGGUUAAGGGCCUCGGUUCCGGAGUCGGAAUGACCAGGGUUUGGGUCCCAGCUCCAUUGCUGCCUGAGCCUCCGUUUCCCAGUGUGUGGAGCAGCUGGUAACCAGCAUUCCUACUCCCAUGGGUGUUGGAGACUUGAAUGACUUCGUCAUUACAAAGCGUUCAGCACAGGUUAAGUGCUGAUAGGCAGAAAGGAGAUAAUCAGUGGUAGCGAUUAUUAUUUUAGUUGUCUGCUUAUAAAAUCAGAAAAUCAGAAAUAGAAAAAUACAAAGAAGAAAAUCAAAAGUGCAUGUAGCCCCACGGCCCGGCGAUCCGCACCGCUGGCCUUUUGUUAGCUCUCGUUCCUGUUUUUUUUUCCUGUCGGUGUGUAUGCGUGUGUAUUUCAUAGGAUCUGGUCAUUGUUGAGUGAGGAUAGUUUAUGUAUGUAUAGACAUGUUAGUUUUUUCUUAAUACCAGGCAUAAUAUAUCUUAACCCACUUUUUUAAAACUUAAAAAUAUAUGGAGAACACAUUCUCCAAAUCAUUACAUUUUACCAUAUUGCAUAUUUUUUCACUUUGUAAUGUUUCAAAGUAAGGAUGUGUUUUAGAAUCAAUGUCAAAAGCAAUGUGCCAGCUAUUUCUUCUUUUUUUCCCCCCAAAAUGGGGGUUAUGAUAACACUGAUAAUACAAAUAACAAAUGAUGGCCUCUCAGAUUCAAAGAAACACAGCAGCCUAAAAGAUCCUUCUUAAAUUCCACAAAGGAUUCUUC
Long non-coding RNA from Nomascus leucogenys (northern white-cheeked gibbon), 2101 nucleotides. RefSeq lists it as uncharacterized. NCBI's taxonomy places the organism in Eukaryota, Metazoa, Chordata, Mammalia, Primates, Hylobatidae. The transcript has 4 exons. The record is from RefSeq and is a predicted model, not a curated record.